This is a long non-coding RNA of Alexandromys fortis (reed vole), 989 nucleotides long. RefSeq lists it as uncharacterized. The record is from RefSeq and is a predicted model, not a curated record. Lineage: Eukaryota; Metazoa; Chordata; Mammalia; Rodentia; Cricetidae. The transcript is spliced from 3 exons.
ACGGCCCGGGAACGUGCGCUCUUCCGCUCUGUAGAUAAGAUUUAUGGGUGUCAGAGCGGUGCAAGCGGGGCGCUGAGGAAACCCCAGCUCGGGGGAGAUCCUGGGUCGCGGGCCGCUCGGGUGCUGCAGGAGGGGAGAGGGCGGCACGAAGUCUCUGCGGCGACUUGAGCUUCAGUGGCAGGCGAGAAGACGCAAUAUAUAUGGAGAGAGGAGGAAAAUGCGACGAAAUUAGCGGUAGUCAUAGUUUAGGCCUGAAGAGGGCACCAGACCUCAUUACAGAUGGUUGUGAGCCACCACGUGGUUGCUGGGAAUUGAACUCAGGACCUUUGGAAGGCAAUGCUCUUAACCGCUGAGCCAUCUCUCCAGCCCCAACCACUCGUGUUUUUAAGAAAAAGAAAAACUUUUAAAAGAGUUCCUGGGUUCUGUCCCAGCACCAAUAUGUCAGCGGAGCUGUCUAACUCCAGUUCCAGAGGGUUUUGAUGCCCCCUUGCUGUAGGACAAUGGUCUGUACUCUGUCACUUGUAUUUUAAAUAAAUGGUGAUUGGCCAGUAGCCAGGCAGGAAGUAUAGGCGGGGCAACAAGAAUUUGGGGAAGAGGGAAGUUUCAGUCUGCAGUCGUCACCCAGACACAGAGCAAACAAGAAGUGACUGCUUCGCCGAAAAAGGUACCAAGCCACGUGGCAAACACAGACAAGAAUUAUGGGUUAAUAUAAGUUAUAAGAGUUAAUUAUAAGCCUGAGCUAAUAGGCCAAUCAGUUUAUGAUUAAUGUAGACCUCUGUGUGUUUCUUUGGGACUUGACGACUGCGGGAACCAGGCAGGACAGAAAAUUCAGUCAACACUUCCUCGUCUGGGGCUGGAGAGAUGGCUCAGAGGUUAAGAGCACUGGAUGCUCUUUCCAGAGGUCCUGAGUUCAAUUCCCAGCAACCACAUAGUGGCUCACAACCAUCUGUACUGAGAUCUGGCGCUCUGUUCUUACGUGCGGGCAUACA